Molecule: long non-coding RNA, 1390 nt
Organism: Ictalurus punctatus (channel catfish)
Lineage: Eukaryota; Metazoa; Chordata; Actinopteri; Siluriformes; Ictaluridae
Source: Ensembl
CAAGUAGAUCCCCUUUAGGAGCAUAAGAACCCUUUGUCCUACGGGUAGAACCAUUUUAUGAGCAUACGACCACCUAGAUCUCCAAGUAGAACCCUUUUAGGAGCAUAAGAACACCUAGAUCUCCAAGUAGAACCCUUUUAGGAGCAUAAGAACCCUUAGGCCUCCAAGUAGAACCCUUUUAGGAGCAUACGAACACCUAGAUCUCCAAGUAGAAUCCUUUUAGGAGCACAAGAAGCCUUAGUCCUCCGUGUAGAACCCUUUUAGUGGUGUAAGAACACUUAGUUCUCCAGGUAGAACCCUUUUAGGAGCAUACGGACAUCUUCAGGACAGAGGAAUUUAGGUUUUUGGAGUUUCUUGGUAACGUGGAAAGCUGCAUAUUUAUUUUCUUAUUAACUUCAAGAGAGAGAGAGAGAAAAGCGAGGCCGGGACGUGUCGAGUCACGCUGGUGAUCCUUUAUCGGUUGCUCCAUUAUUCCCGGUCGCGUGUCCUGCUGGCGUCAUGGGGGACAUCACUGUUGCCAGUGCGGUUACACAGCUGUUUACUGAAGGAAAUAUUUUGAAACAAUCUCAAAUAUAAGUGAUCGCUGUCAAGUUCUUCGCUGUUUUUGUUCAGCCGCUUAUUGAGCUGCUCAGAGCUGGGCUUUAUGACGCAAUUUUCAAACGAAAACUGUAAUAAAAACAAAUUCAAGUGUAAUUAAAUUAACCCCAUCAGACCAAAAACAAGAGCACCGGAUUUAUUUGCGUGAGAAAUAUAUCUCUUUCACGGAAUCGCUCCAGUAUAUUUAACUAAAUAAUGGAAAUGUCACUUUUCAGUUGAAUUCAUGCAACAGAUGCUAAUAUGUCUGUCAGUGUAUGAAAGCUAGCAGUAUGGGAAAAUAUUUCUUAAUACCAUCAUCAUCUGUCAUUUCCACGCAUCAGUGUGUGACAGGAAUAUUACACCCUCUGGCUGAUAUUCGGUAGCGAAGGAGAGAGAUAAUCGUGCACAUAUCAGACGAAUCACAGCGCCGCAGACGGUAGCGACUCGCUCUGGAACCGCCGCGUCUCUUCGCCUGAUCGCACGUUCCUGAACCCCGGUAGAGUCUCGGCGGAGUUCCAGGAAGUCAAUUUUAUUUAUAUAGCAAAUUAAACCGACUAAUGUUAAGCCAGAGUGCUUUAAAACCUUAUAACUGCAAGUCACACACAGAUAAAACAGAUUGAUGCGAGCACAAACCUUCACACAUUCAGCAGUUCCCAGAUGCUGUGUAGAAAUGCGCUCGAAUCCGUCGUUACAGAACGAAUACCUUCAAAACGGAUAGAAAGGGACUUUAUAAAAUCCCGUCAUGCCGUGAGUAAUAUCUUCAGUUUAGACAUAUAUGAUGUCUGCGUAGUUUUUUUUGUUUGUUUGUUUUUUU